GAGGAAAAGAAACCAACAGGGAUUGCCUCAGUAACGGCGAGUGAAGCGGCAAAAGCUCGAAUUUGAAAUCCUCUUCGGAGGAGUUGUAAUUUGAAGCUGGUUCUUUAGGGAGUUUUGUUUUUGGCUGCGGAAGUGCCUUGGAACAGGCCGCCGUGGAGGGUGAGAGCCCCGUAUCGUGGCCAGCAAGAUUUUCGUAUAAGGGCUAGCGAAGAGUCGAGUUGUUUGGGAAUGCAGCUCUAAGUGGGUGGUAUAUUCCAUCUAAGGCUAAAUAUGGGCGAGAGACCGAUAGCAAACAAGUACAGUGAUGGAAAGAUGAAAAGAACUUUGAAAAGAGAGUGAAAAAGUACGUGAAAUUGUUGAAAGGGAAGGGUAUUUGAUCCGACAUGGUAUUUAGAUGUCGCUUGCCCCCGUGGCGGGCGCUCCAUCUUUUUACUGGGCCAGCAUCGGUGCUGGGCGGGACAGGAGGUUUCUGUGAAUGUAGCCCUUCGGGGAACUUAUAGAACAGGAUUCAUACGUCUCUCCCCGGUACCGAGGACUGCGGGAAACCAAGGAUGCUGGCAUAACGAGCAAAUACCGCCCGUCUUGA
Molecule: ribosomal RNA, 586 nt
Filed under: Brettanomyces naardenensis
Lineage: Eukaryota; Fungi; Ascomycota; Pichiomycetes; Pichiales; Pichiaceae
Description: eukaryotic LSU rRNA
Rfam family: Eukaryotic large subunit ribosomal RNA
Source: RNAcentral